This 223-nucleotide unclassified non-coding RNA is filed under the name uncultured Rhodanobacteraceae bacterium. RNAcentral's name for it is "contains 16S-23S intergenic spacer region". It matches the Rfam family "Bacterial small subunit ribosomal RNA", at positions 976 to 1198 of the family's 1533-position model. Lineage: Bacteria; Pseudomonadati; Pseudomonadota; Gammaproteobacteria; Lysobacterales; Rhodanobacteraceae. The record is from RNAcentral.
UGGCCUUGACAUGUCCGGAAUCCAGCAGAGAUGCAGGAGUGCCUUCGGGAAUCGGAACACAGGUGCUGCAUGGCUGUCGUCAGCUCGUGUCGUGAGAUGUUGGGUUAAGUCCCGCAACGAGCGCAACCCUUGUCCUUAGUUGCCAGCACGUAAUGGUGGGAACUCUAAGGAGACUGCCGGUGACAAACCGGAGGAAGGUGGGGAUGACGUAAGCCUAUCGAGA